RNAcentral lists this ribosomal RNA (513 nucleotides) under uncultured bacterium. RNAcentral's name for it is "partial 16S ribosomal RNA". It matches the Rfam family "Bacterial small subunit ribosomal RNA", at positions 28 to 523 of the family's 1533-position model. The record is from RNAcentral.
GACGAACGCUGGCGGCAUGCCUAAUACAUGCAAGUCGAGCGAACAGAUGAAGUGCUUGCACUUCUGACGUUAGCGGCGAACGGGUGAGUAACACGUAAGGAAUCUACCUAUAAGCGGGGGCUAACAUUCGGAAACGGGUGCUAAUACCGCAUAAUAUCUUCUUUCGCAUGGACGAAGAUUGAAAGACGGUGCUGCUGCUACUUGUAGUUUACCUUGCGGUACAUUAGUUAGUUGGUGGGGUAACGGCCUACCAAGACGAUGAUGCAUAGCCGAGCUGAGAGGGUGAUCGGGCACAUUGGGACUGAGACACGGCCCAAUCUCCUACGGGAGGCAGCAGUAGGGAAUCUUCCGCAAUGGGCGAAAGCCUGACGGAGCAAUGCCGCGUGAGUGAAAAAGGCCUUCGGGUCGUAAAACUCUGUUAUAAGAGAAGAACAAAUUGUAGAGUAACUGCUACAGUCUUGACGGUAUCUUAACAGAAAGCCACGGCUAACUACGUGCCAGCAGCCGCGGUAA